This 484-nucleotide ribosomal RNA is filed under the name uncultured bacterium. RNAcentral's name for it is "partial 16S ribosomal RNA". It matches the Rfam family "Bacterial small subunit ribosomal RNA", at positions 29 to 507 of the family's 1533-position model. The record is from RNAcentral.
AUUGAACGCUGGCGGCAUGCCUAACACAUGCAAGUCGAACGGCAGCGCGGGGGCAACCCUGGCGGCGAGUGGCGGACGGGUGAGGAAUGCAUAGGAAUCUGCCCGGCUGUGGGGGAUAACGUAGGGAAACUUACGCUAAUACCGCAUACGACCUUCGGGUGAAAGUGGGGGACCUUCGGGCCUCACGCGAUCGGAUGAGCCUAUGCCCGAUUAGCUAGUUGGCGGGGUAAGAGCCCACCAAGGCGACGAUCGGUAGCUGGUCUGAGAGGAUGAUCAGCCACACUGGGACUGAGACACGGCCCAGACUCCUACGGGAGGCAGCAGUGGGGAAUAUUGGACAAUGGGCGCAAGCCUGAUCCAGCAAUGCCGCGUGUGUGAAGAAGGCCUUCGGGUUGUAAAGCACUUUUGUUCGGGAAGAAAUCCGUGUGGUUAAUACCCGUACGGGAUGACGGUACCGAAAGAAUAAGCACCGGCUAACUUCGUG